GUCUGUACUCAUACUACCUGGAACAUGUCUGAUCUCAUCUGAUCUCAGACGCUAAGCAGGAUUAGGCCUGGUUAGUACUUGCA
RNAcentral lists this ribosomal RNA (83 nucleotides) under Saimiri boliviensis boliviensis (Bolivian squirrel monkey). The record is from RNAcentral. Lineage: Eukaryota; Metazoa; Chordata; Mammalia; Primates; Cebidae.